RNAcentral lists this non-coding RNA (1042 nucleotides) under Rhinolophus blasii (Blasius's horseshoe bat). RNAcentral describes it as "partial 12S ribosomal RNA". It matches the Rfam family "Bacterial small subunit ribosomal RNA". Lineage: Eukaryota; Metazoa; Chordata; Mammalia; Chiroptera; Rhinolophidae. The record is from RNAcentral.
UUGGUCCUGGCCUUUCUGUUAGUUCUAGGUAAAACUACACAUGCAAGUAUCCGCGCCCCAGUGAGAAUGCCCUCUAAAUCACACCUGAUUAAAAGGAGCGGGCAUCAAGCACACUACAAAGUAGCUCAUAACGCCUUGCUUAACCACACCCCCACGGGAAACAGCAGUGAUAAAAAUUAAGCCAUGAACGAAAGUUCGACUAAGUUAUACCUAUACCCAGGGUUGGUAAAUUUCGUGCCAGCCACCGCGGUCACACGAUUAACCCAAAUUAACAGAGACACGGCGUAAAGCGUGUUUAAGAGUACAAAAAAUAAAGUUAAAUUCUAGCUAAGCUGUAAAAAGCCAUAGCUAAAAUAAAAAUAAACUACGAAAGUGACUUUACAGAUUCUGAACACACGAUAGCUAAGGCCCAAACUGGGAUUAGAUACCCCACUAUGCUUAGCCCUAAACUUAGACAAUCAACACAACAACAUUGUUCGCCAGAGUACUACUAGCAACAGCUUAAAACUCAAAGGACUUGGCGGUGCUUUAUACCCCUCUAGAGGAGCCUGUCCUAUAAUCGAUAAACCCCGAUAAACCUCACCAGCCCUUGCCAAUUCAGCCUAUAUACCGCCAUCCUCAGCAAACCCUAAAAAGGAACUGUAGUAAGCACAAAUAUAAGACAUAAAAACGUUAGGUCAAGGUGUAGCCUAUGGACUGGGAAGAGAUGGGCUACAUUUUCUUAUCAAAGAACACUUAAAAUCACAUACGGAAGCCCCCAUGAAACGGGGGGGCAGAAGGUGGAUUUAGUAGUAAACCAAGAGCAAAGAGCCUGGUUGAAUUAGGCCAUGAAGCACGCACACACCGCCCGUCACCCUCCUCAAAUAUAAAGGCACCACCCAAACCUAUUACCACGUGCCUGCAAUUAUGAGAGGAGAUAAGUCGUAACAAGGUAAGCGUACUGGAAAGUGCGCUUGGAUAUAUACCAAAGUGUAGCUUAAACUAAAGCACCUGGCUUACACCCAGGAGACUUCACAUACAAUGAACACUUUUGAACAAGUAC